Molecule: non-coding RNA, 217 nt
Organism: Schizosaccharomyces pombe (fission yeast)
Lineage: Eukaryota; Fungi; Ascomycota; Schizosaccharomycetes; Schizosaccharomycetales; Schizosaccharomycetaceae
Source: the annotation of a GenBank genome assembly
AUUUCCUCGCUGCGGUAUAAAAUCAAUUGGUAAAUGAAAUUCAUAAAAUAAUUAAAUUUUAAUUGUACGUUAAGACAACGUAAAUGCAAAUACAAAACAUUGGUAAACCAAUAAUUAAACUUUCGAAAUAUUUAAUUUAAAAACAUCUUUUAAGAACUAGAUGUGUUGCGACUACGAAUGAAUUUCUAAAUACUACGAAAUAAACAAUUGGAUAUCA